RNAcentral lists this ribosomal RNA (368 nucleotides) under uncultured organism. Its description in RNAcentral is "bacterial SSU rRNA". It matches the Rfam family "Bacterial small subunit ribosomal RNA", at positions 526 to 896 of the family's 1533-position model. The record is from RNAcentral.
CGGAGGGUGCAAGCGUUGUCCGGAUUUAUUGGGUUUAAAGGGUGCGUAGGCGGCCCGUUAAGUCAGUGGUGAAAGCCUCCAGCUCAACUGGAGAACUGCCAUUGAUACUGACGGGCUUGAGUACAGAUGAGGUUGGCGGAAUUGAUAGUGUAGCGGUGAAAUGCAUAGAUACUAUCAAGAACUCCGAUUGCGUAGGCAGCUAACUAGGCUGUAACUGACGCUGAGGCACGAAAGCGUGGGGAGCGAACAGGAUUAGAUACCCUGGUAGUCCACGCCGUAAACGAUGAUUACUCGAUGUCGGCGAUAAACUGUCGGCGUCUUAGCGAAAGCGUUAAGUAAUCCACCUGGGGAGUACGCCCGCAAGGGUG